CGGGACGGGUGAGUAAUGUCUGGGAAACUGCCUGAUGGAGGGGGAUAACUACUGGAAACGGUAGCUAAUACCGCAUAACGUCGCAAGACCAAAGAGGGGGACCUUCGGGCCUCUUGCCAUCGGAUGUGCCCAGAUGGGAUUAGCUAGUAGGUGGGGUAACGGCUCACCUAGGCGACGAUCCCUAGCUGGUCUGAGAGGAUGCAGCCACACUGGAACUGAGACACGGUCCAG
Molecule: ribosomal RNA, 231 nt
Filed under: uncultured bacterium
Lineage: Bacteria
Description: partial 16S ribosomal RNA
Rfam family: Bacterial small subunit ribosomal RNA
Source: RNAcentral